This 321-nucleotide long non-coding RNA is filed under the name Helianthus annuus (common sunflower). Its description in RNAcentral is "sRNA HanXRQr2_Chr14g0625221". The record is from RNAcentral. Lineage: Eukaryota; Viridiplantae; Streptophyta; Magnoliopsida; Asterales; Asteraceae.
UGGGACGCAGGGGGGCGACCUGAGCUCCUCACCAAGCCCUAGUUCAUCACAUAUUUCACAAAAUUGAGGGCUCAAAUCAAGCUGAAAUCGAAAAUCGAGCAUAGAUUAUUGAUCCUCAUCACAAGAGGAUUUCAAGUUGGCGCUUAAACAAGCCAGGUGAAGCUUGGAGUGAAAGCGGGUCAAACGAGUCAAGCAUAGAAGAAAAGCGUAGCUCGGAUGCAAGGUGAAUGUCGAGAGUGCACGGAUGAAGAUCAAGCGUCGAGCAAGAACCGAACACGAUUACGAAAUAAGCUUCCGCACUAUGUAUCGUUAUUAUGUUAA